AGGAGGACGUGCACGUAGUUAAUUUCGCUCUCCGGACGGAAGGCGAUGGACACCUGAACGGGACAUACGGGUGUAGAAACGGAGGCUUAGCCGGUGAUGCUGAAUGGAUGGGGGGCCAUGGCGACGUCACGCGGAGCACCCAGCCGCGCAGCGCACGAGCCAGCGCAAGACGACAUUGGAGACGCGCGAGACGAUCUCAGCCGCAGCGCACACCUUGUUUCUGAGAAAACCAAUCUGCAUGAUAUAUUCUGAAGGACAGGACCCCAUGACAUAGGUCCGAAUCCGAGCUCCUCAUUUUCCCCCUGUGGCUGGAAGAGAUGGUUGGCCGAAGGGGUUGGCUGUUAUCUUUGGUUAUCUAGCUGUAUGAGUGAUGUACGUUCUUCAUAAAGCUAGAUAACCGAAAGUAACAAGAAUCCCAUUACACACCUGAAAGGCCACAACCAUCCAACACGUCACAACCCACCUCUUGCUCUCUUUUCUCACAAAGCCAACAACAUGAAAUAGCAUCCAGGGUGAGCAGAAUCGACGUCCAAUCUCUAUAUGGAAAAGAUGCCAGUGAAAAGGAAGGAAAACAUGGUGGAUGCUAAGGAGGGGGGCGGGUUGGUGUUGAGACUCUCUGUGCACCACUAUGCAUUGCUGCUCUCAGCCCCUCCUCUAGCUGCCUGCCUGCCCCUUCCUCUUGUGACGAGCGGCAAUCCAUGCUUUACCACCAUCUUAGAGAGUGCUGGCAUGAAAUGGAAGAGGGAGGAAAAACGAGCAGGUGAUGGAAGAAUAAAAGAGGAUUUUAUAAAUGACAUCUGAUGACGGAUGACAAAGCAAUGCCUGCUGAUGAAACACUUGACCCAGAUGUCUGCACCAUUUUAUUGUGUGCCCCAACAUUGUAACAUUCAAGCACUUUAAAUGCUAUUUUUAAGUAUGCUUACAUUUUUUUUUAAUGCUUUUGUUCUUCUGUUAAGAUAAAUAUCUACUGUAAAAUUUAGAUUUUUUUUUAUUAUUAUCUGCCAUUCUUAUAUCAGCUAUGUAUGCUUUACCUGGACAUAUAAUUGAAAAUGCAAAGAAAACUAGUUUGCUACAUAACAAAAUGCUGCGUUUUUCUAAAUUAAUGAAUACUUUAAAUGUAUAUAAUGUAUCCAUUAUAUACAUUUAUGUAUGUAUGUAUGUAUGUAUGUAUGUAUGUAUGUAUGUAUGUAUGUAUCUUUAUGGCCCAAAAAGUUCACCUGGUCAAAUUUGCUUGGAUAGCAGAAACUUUAGAAUCAUUAGCAUAGAGCACUUUAAACAUUCAUGCAUUCAUGCAGCCUUUCCUUCUUUCUUUUCUUGUGCCUUGUGUUUAAUGUCCCAGACAAGGUUCAACAGCAUCUGUUAUGAUAGAAAUGACACAGUGUAAUCUGAUUGUAAUGUUAUAUUCAAAAUGAAGUGUUAAUUAUUAGAUUCCGCAAACUGCUGAACUAAUGGUGUAGCGAUCAUGAAUGUGAGACCCACGGCAGCAGCGAAGGGUUACUGCACUGCGAUUGAACAGCUCCGUGUGUUGAUAUUUACACACCUGAAAUAUAUAGAGCUGUUUUCUUUAUUCUCUAUGCAACUGAGUCGGUCAUGCAAUCAUCACUGAUCAGUGCAGGACCUGUCCUGGGCAGAUUAUUUACAUUUGAAACUGAUAUUUUAAAUAUGUUCUAAACAAUAUGGGUGUACUGUUAAUGAGGAAAAAAUAUAUUAUAUAUACCUUACUUAACAAGGUUGGUGUAAAUUUGUUUUGACUCUGCAGUCUAACUGCAAUCUUAAUUGUGUUUCACGUUAUGACAAUUAUGUAAAAUACUACUAUUAAUACUAGUAGUGAUACUACUAAUAAUCCUGCUAUUUCAUUUAUUAUUUAGAGUAAAUAUGCUUAUAAUUAAAUUUGAGCAGAGGCAAACUUAUUAUAUAAUAAUCUAUGCAAAUCUAUAAAUAUUUGAUCAUAUUAAUGAGGAUUGUGCAAUUAAUUUUGAGUACCAUUUUAUUUUUUUUACAAUGGACAGCGAUGUCCUUAAAUCUUUUAAAGAAAAUAUUUUUUUUUAAUAAAUGUGAGUACUAUGAUUUAAAAUCAUUUACUAUGCAAUUUUAAAUCAAAAUGGUGUUUGUUUAAAUGUUGUUGUUAAUAUUUUUCUGUGUGAAAUCUUAUCUCUGUUAAGACUAACAUAAGUAUAAUUUUUUUAUUAGAUUAUUUGUGGCAUUUAACCCAUCUGUCCUGUAAUGCUUACUAAUAAAAUUUGACAUU
This is a long non-coding RNA of Silurus meridionalis, 2248 nucleotides long. RefSeq lists it as uncharacterized. NCBI's taxonomy places the organism in Eukaryota, Metazoa, Chordata, Actinopteri, Siluriformes, Siluridae. The record is from RefSeq and is a predicted model, not a curated record. The transcript has 5 exons.